RNAcentral lists this ribosomal RNA (442 nucleotides) under uncultured bacterium. RNAcentral describes it as "partial 16S ribosomal RNA". It matches the Rfam family "Bacterial small subunit ribosomal RNA", at positions 338 to 795 of the family's 1533-position model. The record is from RNAcentral.
CCUACGGGAGGCAACAGUGGGGGAUAUUGCACAAUGGGGGAAACCCUGAUGCAGCGACGCCGCGUGGGCGAAGAAGUAUUUCGGUAUGUAAAGCCCUAUCAGCAGGGAAGAAGAAAUGACGGUACCUGAGUAAGAAGCACCGGCUAAAUACGUGCCAGCAGCCGCGGUAAUACGUAUGGUGCAAGCGUUAUCCGGAUUUACUGGGGGUAAAGGGAGCGCAGGCGGAACGGCACGCCUGAUGUGAAAGCCCGCGGCCCAACCGCGGGACUGCAUUGGGAACUACCGGGCUGGAGUGCCGGAGAGGUAGGCGGAAUUCCUAGUGUAGCGGUGAAAUGCGUAGAUAUUAGGAUGAACACCAGUGGCGAAGGCGGCCUACUGGACGGUGACUGACGCUGAGGCUCGAAAGCGUGGGGAGCAAACAGGAUUAGAUACCCUUGUAGUC